GAUGAAAACGUAGCGAAAUGCGAUACGUAGUGUGAAUUGCAGAAUUCAGUGAAUCUUCGAAUCUUUGAACGCACAUUGCACCUCUCGGUAUUCCGGGAGGUAUGCCUGUUCGAGCGUCAUUUGUACCCUCAAGCUCUGCUUGGUGUUGGGUGUUUGUUCCGCCUCUGUGUGUGAACUCGCCUCAAAACAAUUGGCAGCCGGCGUACUUGUUUCGGAGCGCAGCACAUUUUGCGAUCCAGAUCAACGUACAGCGGCAUCCAAGAAGCCUUAUUUAACGCUCUUGACCUCGGAUCAGGUAGGGAUACCCGCUGAACUUAAGCAUAUCAAUAAGCGGAGGA
This 338-nucleotide unclassified non-coding RNA is filed under the name soil metagenome. RNAcentral describes it as "partial contains 5.8S ribosomal RNA, internal transcribed spacer 2, and large subunit ribosomal RNA". The stretch from base 1 to 119 matches the Rfam family "5.8S ribosomal RNA", at positions 35 to 154 of the family's 154-position model. The record is from RNAcentral.